UACGUAGGGAGCAAGCGUUGUUCGGAUUUACUGGGCGUAAAGGGCGCGUAGGCGGCGCGGUAAGUCACUUGUGAAAUCUCUGGGCUUAACCCAGAACGGCCAAGUGAAACUGUUGUGCUAGAGUGCAGAAGGGGCAAUCGGAAUUCUCGGUGUAGCGGUGAAAUGCGUAGAUAUCGAGAGGAACACCAGAGGUGAAGACGGGUUGCUGGGCUGACACUGACGCUGAGGCGCGAAAGCCAGGGGAGCAAACGGG
This 253-nucleotide ribosomal RNA is filed under the name uncultured bacterium. RNAcentral describes it as "partial 16S ribosomal RNA". It matches the Rfam family "Bacterial small subunit ribosomal RNA", at positions 524 to 776 of the family's 1533-position model. The record is from RNAcentral.